GUUAUUCUAUCUUUAGUAGAGAUGGGAUCUCACUCUUGCUCAAGCUGGUCUUGAACUCCUGAGCUCAAGGGAUCCUCCCGCCUGAGCCUCCCAGAGUGCUAGGAUUACAAAUGUGAACCACUGUGCCAGGAGUGUACAUCCUACUGCUCAAUGUCAUCGCUGAGGUCUGCUUUUUCACGCGUUUGUCUUCUGAUGGUUCGGUGCACAGAGUUAGUCACUACUGAAAAUACUGGCAUGCUGAGAGCUUGUAAAAAAGUGAUGGGAAUUUUUGGAAAAUUUAUUAAGAACCAUCUAAAGACAGUUGAAACCAUUUUAGAACUCUCAAGAUGCCUUGAAUUCUUAAGUAUACAUGAAAUAACUGACCUGUUAGAUGACAGCAUAGAAGCAAGUGCUAUAGUGAUGCAACCACCUGAAAAUGCUACAGCACCUGUUUCUGAUGAGGUUUCAAGAGUUGAAGAAGGUGGAAUAAUAAUCUGCCAGGCUCUUUGAUGUGCACACCAGCAUAUUUUUUUCAACAUGGCUAUAAUGCUGAGUCUUGACUCAGAUGAUCCCUCACAUGCACCUGAAGAUGACUCUCUUGAUGAUGAAGUUCCAUCUAUGUUUACUGCACAGCAACCUCCUCCAUCAAAGAAAAAGAAAGUGAGACCCCAUCUCUAUGAAAAAAUAGAAAAACUAAGGCAAGAGGAUAGCUUUAGCUCAAGAGGUUGAGGUUGAUGUGAGCUAUGACACCAUGGCACUCUACUCAGGGCACCAGAGUUAGACUCUAUCUCAAAAAAAAAAAAAAAAAAAGUGACAAAAAUUGUUUACAAAUGGAAUAAAGCUGACCUGACUGCGCGGCCCAUAGCAGAUAGAGUUACAGAAUCUAUCAAUGAUUUCUUCACCAAAAUGAGAACUCCCACAGAAAUUCUUGAACUUUUUCUUGAUGACAAGCUCAUUGAAUUCAUUGUCUUAUACUCCAAGUUAGAUGCUGCAAGUAAGUGGGUAAUCUUGGCUUGAGUAAUUCUGAGUUCAAAUAUUUUCUGGGGCUGGAUGCGAUGGCUCACGCCUGUAAUCCCAGCACUCUGAAAGGCCCAGGCAGGCAGAUUGCUUGAGCUCAGGAGUUGGAGACCCUGCUUCUAAAAAUAGCCAGGCAUUGUGGUGGGAGCCUGUAGUGCCUUCUUCUUGGGAGGCUGAGGCAAGAGAAUCGCUUGAGCCCAAGAGUUUGAGGUUGCUGUAAGCUGUGCCACCACAGCACUCUACCAAGGGCAACAUAGUGAGACUCUGUCACCAAAAAAAAAAAAAAAAAACAAA
Molecule: long non-coding RNA, 1290 nt
Organism: Nycticebus coucang (slow loris)
Lineage: Eukaryota; Metazoa; Chordata; Mammalia; Primates; Lorisidae
Exons: 2
Source: RefSeq, a predicted model, not a curated record